CCUACUUUUUUCUGCCAUGUAAUGGCAUAAAGAAUUCAUGGAUGCCAUAAAAUGAUUACGAUUUUGUCUAUUAUAAGAUAUCUAAAUAUUGUCUACUAAACACUUUUGGGGUCUAUCUAGAAUGUAGUCUGGUCUUAUUCUAAAUGAUAUGUUACUCUCAGGGUAAGCAAUUAAGUUAAAUGGUCUGAAGUGAAUUCUUUCCAUUGUUUCUAAAG
This 215-nucleotide long non-coding RNA is filed under the name Capsicum annuum. RNAcentral's name for it is "long non-coding RNA (CANN_LNC010219)". The record is from RNAcentral. Lineage: Eukaryota; Viridiplantae; Streptophyta; Magnoliopsida; Solanales; Solanaceae.